GUUGCCGUUGCCGUUGACUUUGCAUCAUUAUUUUUAAGAUUUGCAACAAUUAAAAUUACCAUCGCCACCAUCAUCUUUAACGCCGUCACCAGCUGAUAUCGCACUCAUCAUCAAUCAACACCUCCUCCAUCACCUUUAAUGCCACCACCAACAUCGUACCAUCACCUUCAACACCCGUAACAGAAGUAUCGCUACCAUCAUCAUUCAGCACCGGAACCAGCAAAAUCGCACCAUAAACAUUCCCCGCCCUUACCAGCAAAAUCACCUUCAACAUCGCCACUAUUACUUUAAGGCCACCACCAACAUCACCUUCAUCGCCGGCACCAGCAAUGUUAUACACAUCCACAUCAAUGGUCCUGUGCAAUAAUGACACAAUUCAAAAUUCAAAAA
Rhagoletis pomonella (apple maggot) is the source of this 390-nucleotide long non-coding RNA. RefSeq lists it as uncharacterized. The transcript is spliced from 2 exons. NCBI's taxonomy places the organism in Eukaryota, Metazoa, Arthropoda, Insecta, Diptera, Tephritidae. The record is from RefSeq and is a predicted model, not a curated record.